UACAGAGGCGGCAAGCGUUGUUCGGAUUUACUGGGCGUAAAGGGCGCGUAGGCGGCAAUUCAAGUCAGCUGUGAAAUCUCCGGGCUUAACUCGGAACGGUCAGCUGAUACUGCUUUGCUAGAGUGCAGAAGGGGCAAUCGGAAUUCUUGGUGUAGCGGUGAAAUGCGUAGAUAUCAAGAGGAACACCUGAGGUGAAGACGGGUUGCUGGGCUGACACUGACGCUGAGGCGCGAAAGCUAGGGUAGCAAACGGG
Molecule: ribosomal RNA, 253 nt
Filed under: uncultured prokaryote
Description: partial 16S ribosomal RNA
Rfam family: Bacterial small subunit ribosomal RNA
Source: RNAcentral